UGGGGAAUCUUGGACAAUGGGGGCAACCCUGAUCCAGCCAUGCCGCGUGAGUGAUGAAGGCCUUAGGGUCGUAAAGCUCUUUCGCCUGUGAAGAUAAUGACGGUAGCAGGUAAAGAAACCCCGGCUAACUCCGUGCCAGCAGCCGCGGUAAUACGGAGGGGGUUAGCGUUGUUCGGAAUUACUGGGCGUAAAGCGCACGUAGGCGGAUCGGAAAGUUGGGGGUGAAAUCCCGGGGGCUCAACCCCGGAACUGCCUCCAAAACUAUCGGUCUAGAGUUCGAGAGAGGUGAGUGGAAUUCCGAGUGUAGAGGUGAAAUUCGUAGAUAUUCGGAGGAACACCAGUGGCGAAGGCGGCUCACUGGCUCGAUACUGACGCUGAGGUGCGAAAGUGUGGGGAGCAAAACAGGAUUUAGAUACCCUGGUAGUCCACACCGUAAACGAUGAAUGCCAGUCGUCGGGUAGCAUGCUAUUCGGUGACACACCUAACGGAUUAAGCAUUCCGCCU
Molecule: ribosomal RNA, 504 nt
Filed under: uncultured bacterium
Lineage: Bacteria
Description: bacterial SSU rRNA
Rfam family: Bacterial small subunit ribosomal RNA
Source: RNAcentral